GUUGAAACCUGUUAAUAUAGGUGCUGAUCUGUUAAGUACUUAGGGCUCUGUUCUGUUGUUUAGAAUUAUGAAGUUUAAAGAUUUUGAAGCCUUAGAACUUACAAGUGAAGGGUGGUCUUGUUAACUUAAAAUUUAAUUCUCAUCUUUCCAAUAGAAAUUUAGGUGUCUAUUUGGAAAUUAUGCAUGGAAGUAAGCUUGUUAGAUGCAAUAGAUAGGCAUGUAAGAACUAUGUAUGCCAUGUUUAGGCAGGCAGCAUUAGCUAGUAGGCAGGAGCAAUGCCAUGCGUAGAAUAUUCUCAGACCAACUUAUGUGAAUUAAAAUUAAAUCUUCU
This 331-nucleotide unclassified non-coding RNA is filed under the name Hevea brasiliensis (rubber tree). Lineage: Eukaryota; Viridiplantae; Streptophyta; Magnoliopsida; Malpighiales; Euphorbiaceae. The record is from RNAcentral.